UUGUCAUUUUCUUGCCUGGCAGCUUUGCAUCCCGAUGCGGUGGAUCUUUACGAUUAAAUUCUUCGGGCAUGGAGUGGGAUUCUUUCCCAGCACCCACUACUCCAGACUGUAGUGUUGAGCUUUUGCAAUGUCCACUGCACUUUGGAGCGAGCUGUAGACCAGGCUGAGCCUUUGUGAUGAGUUGCCACAAUUCAUUCACGAUACUGGGAUUGGAACGAUGUGUAUGCCGGAAGGAUGUGUGUGAUCAAUCUAAUAUUUGUGUUCACGACAGCCAUUAGGUCUUCCUUUAGUGUUGUCCUUGACCAACUGUUGCUGAAGGCAAGGUGCGCUUGCAGACAAGCUGCAUGUAAAGGCUGCCAACC
This 362-nucleotide long non-coding RNA is filed under the name Coccomyxa subellipsoidea. Its description in RNAcentral is "long non-coding RNA (CSUB_LNC000035)". Lineage: Eukaryota; Viridiplantae; Chlorophyta; Trebouxiophyceae; Coccomyxaceae. The record is from RNAcentral.